AACGCGAAGAACCUUACCAGCUCUUGACAUGCCACGACGGUUACCGGAGACGGUUUCCUUCCUUCGGGACGUGGACACAGGUGCUGCAUGGCUGUCGUCAGCUCGUGUCGUGAGAUGUUGGGUUAAGUCCCGCAACGAGCGCAACCCUCGCCUUUAGUUGCCAUCAUUUGGUUGGGCACUCUAAAGGGACUGCCGGUGAUAAGCCGAGAGGAAGGUGGGGAUGACGUCAAGUCCUCAUGGCCCUUACGGGCUGGGCUACACACGUGCUACAAUGGCGGUGACAGUGGGCAGCCAACUCGCGAGAGUGAGCUAAUCCCCAAAAGCCGUCUCAGUUCGGAUUGCACUCUGCAACUCGGGUGCAUGAAGUUGGAAUCGCUAGUAA
RNAcentral lists this ribosomal RNA (382 nucleotides) under uncultured bacterium. RNAcentral describes it as "bacterial SSU rRNA". It matches the Rfam family "Bacterial small subunit ribosomal RNA", at positions 958 to 1341 of the family's 1533-position model. The record is from RNAcentral.